RNAcentral lists this ribosomal RNA (451 nucleotides) under uncultured bacterium. RNAcentral describes it as "partial 16S ribosomal RNA". It matches the Rfam family "Bacterial small subunit ribosomal RNA", at positions 30 to 523 of the family's 1533-position model. The record is from RNAcentral.
AUUGAACGCUGGCGGCAGGCUUAACACAUGCAAGUCGAACGGUUGUAGCAAUACAGCAGUGGCGCACGGGUGAGUAACGCGUGGGAACGUGCCCUUCAGUUUUGGAUAACCACUGGAAACGGUGGCUAAUACAAAAUAUUCCCUCCGGGGGAAAGAUUUAUCGCUGAAGGAUCGGCCCGCGUUAGAUUAGGUAGUUGGUGGGGUAAAGGCCUACCAAGCCUACGAUCUAUAGCUGGUCUGAGAGGAUGAUCAGCCACACUGGAACUGAGACACGGUCCAGACUCCUACGGGAGGCAGCAGUGGGGAAUAUUGGACAAUGGGCGAAAGCCUGAUCCAGCCAUGCCGCGUGAGUGAUGAAGGCCUUAGGGUUGUAAAGCUCUUUUGUCAGGGAAGAUAAUGACGGUACCUGAAGAAUAAGCACCGGCUAACUUCGUGCCAGCAGCCGCAGUAA